Molecule: ribosomal RNA, 564 nt
Filed under: uncultured bacterium
Lineage: Bacteria
Also listed under: 1 other name
Description: bacterial SSU rRNA
Rfam family: Bacterial small subunit ribosomal RNA
Source: RNAcentral
CCUACGGGAGGCAGCAGUGGGGAAUCUUGCGCAAUGGGCGAAAGCCUGACGCAGCAACGCCGCGUGCGGGAUGAAGGCCUUCGGGCUGUAAACCGCUUUCAGCAGGAACGAAAAUGACGGUACCUGCAGAAGAAGGAGCGGCCAACUACGUGCCAGCAGCCGCGGUGACACGUAGGCUCCAAGCGUUGUCCGGAUUUAUUGGGCGUAAAGAGCUCGUAGGCGGUUGAGUAAGUCGGGUGUGAAAACUCUGGGCUUAACCCGGAGACGCCAUCCGAUACUGCUCUGACUUGAGUUCAGGAGGGGAGUGGGGAAUUCCUAGUGUAGCGGUGAAAUGCGCAGAUAUUAGGAGGAACACCGGUGGCGAAGGCGCCACUCUGGACUGAAACUGACGCUGAGGAGCGAAAGCAUGGGUAGCAAACAGGAUUAGAUACCCUGGUAGUCCAUGCCGUAAACGGUGGGCACUAGGUGUGGGUUCCAACUAACGGGAUCCGCGCCGUCGCUAACGCAUUAAGUGCCCCGCCUGGGGAGUACGGUCGCAAGACUAAAACUCAAAGGAAUUGACGG